Lactuca sativa (garden lettuce) is the source of this 1506-nucleotide long non-coding RNA. RefSeq lists it as uncharacterized. The record is from RefSeq and is a predicted model, not a curated record. NCBI's taxonomy places the organism in Eukaryota, Viridiplantae, Streptophyta, Magnoliopsida, Asterales, Asteraceae.
AUCACUCCAUAAAAUUAAACCCUAGCUAGAAAGGAAGAGUGGUUGUAUUCUUUGGCGGUGAAAGAGAGAAAGAGAUUGAAGUUGUGGAGGAAGGUUAAGAAAUAAGAAGAAGAAGUCGGAAGGGAGGGAACUGCCACCAUCGACUUGGUCAUCGGCCUAAACUCUCAUUGGAAGCAUAGGUAUAGGGAACGAGGUAGAGAGAAUUAGAGAGAGGAAUAAAUGACAUGUAGAAAACGACUGUGUAGUGGGUAUGAAGGUUGUUUAAAAACUCAUAAUUUCAUAGUUGUUCUCUGACGAAGAUAUUAACCAAGAACAACUCAUAAGUGUGGGUGUCAUGUUUAAGAUUUAUGCAUGAGGAAGGAAAACACAACAAAAGAAGAAGUGCAGAGGACACCGAAGAUGGAGAAUAUGAGUGCUAGACAGAGAGACAGAGAGCCAACAUAAAAGGUUCAAAGUGAUGGUCUGAGCUCUUCACCAUUGUUUAUGGCCUACUCAUGUGGGUUUUACACCAACAUAGCUUUUGAGGAGUUGCUACCACCACUUUCAGUACCGGUCUCGUGAGGGUCCUCCAAUGAUGUUGGGUCAACUCAUCAUCACCGGAGUUGGAAGCACCACUGGAGAAAUGGGUUAGUUGAAGUUUCCAUGGGGAGGGGAGGGUUGUACGACAUGGAUGAAGUGAGGAGUUCAGAGAUCUGGAAACCCAUUUUAGCCACUUUAGUGGUCCUUAUCCUACGAUUGCUGCUUCAGGUGAGUUUCCCUCAUUGUACUUGUAGGUCGAGGGCACCAAUAUCGGCCUAAUGGAUUAUGUAUCCUAGUAUAUUGGAUGAUGUUAUGUUGGCUAUAUGAUAGAAUGGUGGAUCUAUAUGAUUACCUGUAUCCCCUGGUUACGUGUUAGACUAGUAGAUCUAUAUGAUUACGUGUACUUGUUGGUUAUUAAUUGUUAUUGUAUAUGUCGACAUUUUAUGGUUUGUUCGGUUGAGGUGGUCCUACUUUGUGUUGAAGGCCAAGAUACCCAGGGUGGUAUGUUAGGUUGUAGGCCCAAUGAGGCGGUUCAGUCAGCCUGAAUGCCCAAAGAGCGGUCUGGAUAGGUUGAAGGCCCUGCAAGGUGGUCCAGUCAGGCCAAAGACUCGAAGAGCGGUUCAGAUAGGUUGAAGGCCCUACGAGGCGGUCCAUUCAGGCCGAAGGCUUUGAGAGCAGUCCAGAUAGACUAUAGGCCCUGCAAGGCGGUCUAGUAAUGUUGAAGGCUCUUAUAUGCAUGAUGCUGUUUGUUUGGUAGUGUGUGGUACUUUUGGGGAACUCACUAAGCUUUUGCUUACAGUUUGAAUUUAUAGUUUCAAGUACUUAAGAGGAUAUGGGCAAGGUGAAGGCUUGAUCGAGCACAUCAUCUUGGACUUUAUGAGAUUAUGAUUUUGGGAUACUCUGAUUCAUAUUUAUGACAUUUGGAAACUAUGUUUUGUAAACACUUUUGGUUUUGGAUUGGUUUCAAAAAUGAAAAUUUUACCUUAA